GUACUGCUAGAGCGUUCCUAAAAGUGAGGAACCUUAAAAACCUCAGUUGGCACAUUCCUGAUCAUAGAGCAGUCCUGACCUGGUCCAGUCAGUUGUGACUAGUCAUAUGUGCUGGCGUCGAAGAAAGUAUAUGAUUACAAAGUGAUGAAAGUAUGAUCCAAGUUGUAAAUCAAGUUCCAUCUGUGUAGGAUCUCUUGGUGAGAUCCUUAGUGUUUUAGAAUGAAAGUAGGAGCUCAGUCUUGGGGGUCAUUCUGAAACUCCAAUGGCUAAUCAUACUCAAGUAGAGGGAUUAAUUCAUGUGGUGAGGAGUAGCAGGAGGUCUUAGUCUUGGGAGCUUCCAGUAUGCCUCAAGGCCCGGAACAGGCUAACCUCGUGAGUGUGGCAAGGUGGGGAACCCAAGUUUCAUAAGUCACCACGAGUGCAGGAUCCGCCAUAGCUCGACUAUCAUUCUAAAGUCCGGACGAGUCAAGUCUAGAAGAUAACAUGCUAGGAUGUAUGCCUUAAACUGCUUUGAUUUAAGUUAACUAUUGUGUGUUAUGUGCUUGAUAUGAUGCAUGCUUUUAUAUAAUUAGCUCACCCUUGCUUGUUUGUGUGCUUGUUGUAUGUGUUUUCUUUUGCAAUGAUCAUCCACUUGGAUGUGAGUAGAAGAAGAUGAGGUUUCUUUGGAGGCAACAUUGGAGAGAAAUGAAGAUGAUGUUACAGCUUAGACUCACUAGGAAUUCUUAGUUCUC
This 731-nucleotide small RNA is filed under the name Vigna angularis var. angularis. RNAcentral describes it as "Non-protein coding transcript". Lineage: Eukaryota; Viridiplantae; Streptophyta; Magnoliopsida; Fabales; Fabaceae. The record is from RNAcentral.